CCCACCCAUUAAAUCGGACGCAGUGUGCCUUCUAUUACCUGACUGAGGGAUACUACACCCGGCAACGAGACUUCAGAGACAACAAUAUCUUUUGAAACCCGCUUCUCAGCUAAGUGCCCCCAGCAGUUAUUUGAGACAGAUAGAUUUUACUACACGGAUCCGGUAGGAUUAUUAUUUGUUCGGCUGUCUGGAGUUGCUUGUUGGAUACCUUCACCACCUAAAAGCUGGUAAGCACUUGUUUCUUUGGGAUUGUCUGACGGGUGUGUUAUUCACUUUGCGAGUGACCUAACUGUUGGGUAGGGUAAAUUUACUGAUUCCCAACAACUACUACUACUGCUAUAACUUCUACUACUACUACUGCUACUACUACAGCCACUCCCACAGGCACAUAGACGCUGUGGACCCGUCGGAGGGCAUGAUGAAGCAGCGGGAGACUGGCAUCUAUACCAACGACUUCCUGGAGUUUAUCGGCAGCGGACACUCCACCGUGCCCAAAGACACAUACGACCUGGUGGUCAUCUCGGGCGGUAUGGGCGAAGGUCACAUCCCAGUCAGUGGCCUCGACGACCUGGUGCGCGUCGCAAAGAAUGGUGGAGCGGCGCAUCGUCCCAAACUAUUUCUGUGACAAGGAGGGUCUCGUCUUCGUCUUCCGCAUCACUAAGCCUGAGUGAGGAGGAAGAGGAGGGAAAGGAAAGGAGAGAGAUGAGGAGGAGGAGUUAUAGUUGUGCUGUGCCAAGGCCGUCUCUGUGUAACAGCCUUGGUUUCGUCGCGGCACCCGAGACUGAGGUGAAUUAUCGCGCUCUGGCAACCUGGCGUCAUGGCGUCUACGAUGUUAUAUGAUAGUCUACGCAUAGGGCACGUCAGUAUUAAUCAUAUUAUUGAAAUUGUCGUAAAAAUCUGUUUUAGUUUAUAAGACUGAGGCUGCAGAAUCCUUAACCUCAGACCUUGCUAUCAUCUCCGAUUGGGAUAAAAGGAACCUUUGGGUUUUUGUGUCCUUCAAUGCCUCAAAAACCCAAUUUAUCCACCUUUCAACUCGACACAAU
This is a long non-coding RNA of Eriocheir sinensis (Chinese mitten crab), 1043 nucleotides long. RefSeq lists it as uncharacterized. The transcript has 3 exons. NCBI's taxonomy places the organism in Eukaryota, Metazoa, Arthropoda, Malacostraca, Decapoda, Varunidae. The record is from RefSeq and is a predicted model, not a curated record.